Molecule: ribosomal RNA, 440 nt
Filed under: uncultured bacterium
Lineage: Bacteria
Description: partial 16S ribosomal RNA
Rfam family: Bacterial small subunit ribosomal RNA
Source: RNAcentral
CCUACGGGAGGCAGCAGUGGGGAAUAUUGCACAAUGGGGGAAACCCUGAUGCAGCGACGCCGCGUGAGUGCAGAAGUAAUUCGUUAUGUAAAGCUCUAUCAGCAGGGAAGAAAAUGACGGUACCUGAGUAAGAAGCCCCGGCUAACUACGUGCCAGCAGCCGCGGUAAUACGUAGGGGGCAAGCGUUAUCCGGAUUUACUGGGUGUAAAGGGAGCGUAGAAGGCAGUGGAAGUCUGGAGUGAAAGGCGGGGGGUCAACCCCCGGACUGCUCUGGAAACUGUACGGCUGGAGUGCAGGAGAGGUAAGUGGAAUUCCUGGUGUAGCGGUGAAAUGCGUAGAUAUUAGGAGGAACACCAGUGGCGAAGGCGGCUUACUGGACUGUAACUGACGUUGAGGCUCGAAAGCGUGGGGAGCAAACAGGAGUAGAUACCCGAGUAGUC